GCCCUUGUAGCUCAGUCGGUAGAGCGUAACCAUGGUAAGGUUAAGGUCUGCGGUUCGAUUCCGCACGGGGGCU
This 73-nucleotide transfer RNA is filed under the name Treponema parvum. RNAcentral's name for it is "tRNA-Thr(ggt)". It matches the Rfam family "tRNA". From Rfam's summary of the family: Transfer RNA (tRNA) molecules are approximately 80 nucleotides in length. Their secondary structure includes four short double-helical elements and three loops (D, anti-codon, and T loops). Further hydrogen bonds mediate the characteristic L-shaped molecular structure. tRNAs have two regions of fundamental functional importance: the anti-codon, which is responsible for specific mRNA codon recognition, and the 3' end, to which the tRNAs corresponding amino acid is attached (by aminoacyl-tRNA synthetases). tRNAs cope with the degeneracy of the genetic code in two manners: having more than one tRNA (with a specific anti-codon) for a particular amino acid; and 'wobble' base-pairing, i.e. permitting non-standard base-pairing at the 3rd anti-codon position. Lineage: Bacteria; Pseudomonadati; Spirochaetota; Spirochaetia; Treponematales; Treponemataceae. The record is from RNAcentral.